Long non-coding RNA from Homo sapiens (human), 954 nucleotides. Ensembl annotates it as long intergenic non-protein coding RNA 1524. NCBI's taxonomy places the organism in Eukaryota, Metazoa, Chordata, Mammalia, Primates, Hominidae. The record is from Ensembl.
CUUCCGGCCAGCUCUCUUCCGCUUCUGCUGUCUUGAUGACGCACAGUGCUGGCGCAAGUCGUCUUGCGCCAGGCGACUGGGUCUGAGGAGGCAGGAGUUAUUCAUUCCCUUAAGCUUUCAGGCCGGGGGGAGAAUCUUUCAGGUGGUAGCUGCAAGAACUCUUAGUAUGUUGACCUCACCUCUGCCUUCCACAUACCACUACCAGUGAGGAAUUAGGAAUGCAUGAGAAGAGUGUCCAAGAAGAGUGUCCUCAUUCAUGCAAGGCUUAAGAGAGAAUGCAGGUCAACAUCACCAUGUCAAUCAGAGAAUACUUCUGUUGGGUUGAAUGACUCUCUGCCCCCAGGUUGAAGUUGGAGACCAAAUCGUGUACCUCGCUCUCCUGGCACAGGAAAUUGUGUCCAAUGAGGGAUAUUAAAACUGUUAAACCACAAGCACCAGCCAGUCAGGAGAGAAACCCAGGCUGCCAGAACACAUGCUGGAAAUGAACCACUGGCAUCGCCUUGCCAGAGUGUAGCAGUUGAAUGUGGCCUUAAAUGCACUCAUGCUGCUAGUGCAUUUGGUGCAGAUGCUGAGAGCACUUUCUAGUCAAGUCCUGCAUGUUCAUUUCUGUCUCAAGUCAGCUUCUCUGAGAAUCCAAUUUAUAAAAAUAUAUUUGUGAAUGUAUAAGUAAAGUGACUUGGAUUUUGUCUACGUACAAGGACUUCUAUGCCUGCAUAAAACAGAACCUUGUACAGUCCUGAGAAUGAGCCUGGACCAACUUGCUAGAAGAUGAGAAUGGGUAUGAAAGAGAGCUGAGUCCUUCCUACACAGGACAUCGUAGACCAGCCACCUCCAGCCAGCCUGCUAGUUGACCAAGGUGCAUAGGUCAGCUCUGCCUGAUAGAAGUUGGGCCUUAGUCCAGAGGACAUACUAAGCCAAUCUACAGACUUGUAAACUAAAACAAAUGGACAUUGC